This 26-nucleotide unclassified non-coding RNA is filed under the name Mus musculus (house mouse). Its description in RNAcentral is "oocyte_clustered_small_RNA9006". Lineage: Eukaryota; Metazoa; Chordata; Mammalia; Rodentia; Muridae. The record is from RNAcentral.
UACCUGCACCAACAGAGCCACCAUGU